This is a long non-coding RNA of Daphnia carinata, 2402 nucleotides long. RefSeq lists it as uncharacterized. The transcript is spliced from 5 exons. NCBI's taxonomy places the organism in Eukaryota, Metazoa, Arthropoda, Branchiopoda, Diplostraca, Daphniidae. The record is from RefSeq and is a predicted model, not a curated record.
AGCGCCACAUCAAUGUCUCUGCUUAUUAAUGUUUACGCGUGAUUUAACUCGCGUAUAAAGGUUAAAUAGUUUUGGAGGUGAUCCCCUUCAUCCCCGAAACGCUUCAGUUGCUAAAGGUGGAGUCUACAUCCGUGAAUGUUACAGUGAUUAUUCAUUUUGAUCGUGGCCUAAUGGAGAACUCCUCUUCAGUGGUUUCGUAUCCCCCUCGAGCUCUCGGAAACGUGUGAAAUGAAUGAUGGAGAUAAAAACUUGGCUGUCGCACCUCACUUUGGCACGCUAAAGUGCCCCGUAUUGAUUUUUUUUUUUUUUUUCGAUCUCUUUUAAAUUCACGAGGAACAGUCUGGAAAAUUGCGAUUGCGUGAAAUCAAAUCAUUCUAGUUAAACAGCGAAAGAUUCUCUGAACUUGACAGCUUGUUCUAUUACAUCCACUGUUCGCCCCUUCGCAACCGUUGUAUCAAAACGAACGAGAGUUGUUUUUGAGAAAGCGUUACGGUAAUUUCUCUUUAAAAAGUUUGUUGUUGUUGUUAGUUUAGAAAACAAUUGAGGCGCCAGAGGGAGAAGGUAAAUGAUGUUCUACGCAAAUGAAUCCACGUGACAUUUUGCUUUCGACUGCAUAGACGGCGGCGACCUUUUGUUUUUAGUGCAACACCAGCCCAUUAGUUAGUUGGGCAUCAUCACAUGGUGUGGUGGCUUCCCUACUAUUCCAAGAAAUCCCAUCACGUCUUUGGCUGUCGAUUCUUGAAAAAACAUUAACGAUCGCUUUUUACGUUCAGUGCCUUCAUCUUUCAGCUGUAAACGCUGCAGGUUUUGACUGUCUAUGGAUGUCAAUUAUUCAUGGUAUGGUACACACGUGAAGAGAUGCAAGUCACGCAUGAAACGGUACGAUCAGCUUGCCUUUUACUACUAACAUGGAUAGUUCAUUUUCUCAUUAGAGCCAUCGUCUGCACAGAAACAUUCUCGCAAGAAAGACGUCGAUAAGAAGAUUGGGACAUCCAUUUAGUACAUUAUCAAUUUAUUGGGUAAAGCACCAUCUCUAAGGAUCCUACACGUCCCCUUUUCUCUGAGAUUAUAAUUCAUCGUCAGUAACAGUUGAAUACGAACAUUGUGAAAAUGACGUUGGAAAUGCGUGAUGGCGACAAGCUAUAGAAGAACGAAAAUUAGGUACGGAUAUCUAAAAUGGAGAAUGAGUCUGCCUAUUCGAACAUUUCUAAGACUACCAAGGAUCGCUGUUGUUGGCGGCUUACUAGGGAUAGAGCUUUUGAAACUAAGGCUCCAUAUCAGAGAGAAUUACGUGUGACACGUGGCUUCUUCAUCCACAUCAAAGUUAUCUACCCCAAGAGUACGGUCGCUUCUGGUGCCAAUGAAACGUACGCGAUAUAACCAUCUACGGACAACGGUCACGUCCACGAAAAAGACGGUGAAGUCCACGUCUAACUGACGGGAGGCAGAAACUAUAUACGAAAUUUUUACACGCAGGAAAUAAUGUUGAAGUCUUGAUUCUGACGUAUCCAGCCAUUUCCACGUUAUUUCUGUAACGUGGCGUUUAUCAUAACACGCAUCGACGAUGACCUGUAGUUGGAGACCAGAUGAGCAUUUUCGUCUAGAGAACGUACGAAAUGUUUCAUGACGGACUGUAGUCUUUGUGGUGAAUAUUGAUUUGAACAGCAUACAAUUGCGAAUCUACGAUUCGCAGACUGCAUCAAUGUGAAAAUCAUUGAAAUCGUCUUGUAACAGAUGUACUACAUUUGUUCAAGCAGAAUUGUUUUUUACACGACAUUAAGUGGGAAAUGCAGAUUGUCUGUCGUUGCUGUGAAAAAUUGCCUAAAUGUUUAAUCUUGUACUUUUUUUCACACAAGAAACCCAAAUAAUUUAUUUGACUUUUUUUGCUGUAAAAUUUCUGAAGAAAACAAAAUCUAACAACAAGGAAAAAUGAAGAGGAAAAGUUGGCCGACAUCAUAUUUUCUUUUUAAUGUUCCAGUUAAAAACGUCAGGAAACUGAUAACCUUUUGUAAGCAUUAUUUGCUGGCGAACGAUAUAUUGAAAUUUUCGUUAUUUCUGUAUUGCAUAUUCUGGAUUCGGCUUUGCUACUGGCAUUUGAAGAUUUGCUUUGAUACGCUGCUCACACGUCAUUUGUAGAAAUAUUAAUUUUGGUUAUUUGUCAUUGUGCUGAUAUUGUUCUAAUUUCUCAAUUCUUGAUUUAGAUAACUUGUAUUUACAAGACGAGAAGAAUGUAUAAGUCGCAUUGGCCGCGCUAGUCUUUAAUGUAACAUUAAUUUUGAUAAAAACAGUUAGUGUUCAGUGAACUUGAGGAAGUGAACGUAGUGCAGUAGCUAGAGCUCGGUCCCCAUUAUCUGAGACAGUUACUUAUUGCCGAAAGCUAUUGGUACAAUAGCUUAAAAAAA